AUUGAACGCUGGCGGCAGGCCUAACACAUGCGAGUCGAACGGUAGCACAGAGAGCUUGCUCUCGGGUGACGAGUGGCGGACGGGUGAGUAAUGUCUGGGAAACUGCCCGAUGGAGAGGGAUAACUACUGGAAACGGUAGCUAAUACCGCAUAACGUCGCAAGACCAAAGUGGGGGACCUUCGGGCCUCACACCAUCGGAUGUGCCCAGAUGGGAUUAGCUAGUAGGUGGGGUAAUGGCUCACCUAGGCGACGAUCCCUAGCUGGUAUGAGAGGAUGACCAGCCACACUGGAACUGAGACACGGUCCGGCCUCCUACGGGGGGCAGCAUUGGGGAAUAUUGCACAAUGGGCGCAAGCCUGAUGCAGCCAUGCCGCGUGUAUGAAGAAGGCCUUCGGGUUGUAAGUACUUUCAGCGGGGAGGAAGGCGGUGAAGUUAAUAACUUCACCGAUUGACGUUACCCGCAGAAGAGGCACCGGCUAACUACGUGCCAGCCGCCGCGGUAA
This 503-nucleotide ribosomal RNA is filed under the name uncultured bacterium. RNAcentral's name for it is "partial 16S ribosomal RNA". It matches the Rfam family "Bacterial small subunit ribosomal RNA", at positions 30 to 523 of the family's 1533-position model. The record is from RNAcentral.